This 497-nucleotide ribosomal RNA is filed under the name uncultured bacterium. Its description in RNAcentral is "partial 16S ribosomal RNA". It matches the Rfam family "Bacterial small subunit ribosomal RNA", at positions 28 to 507 of the family's 1533-position model. The record is from RNAcentral.
GAUGAACGCUGGCGGCGUGCCUAAUACAUGCAAGUCGAGCGAACGGACGAGAAGCUUGCUUCUCUGAUGUUAGCGGCGGACGGGUGAGUAACACGUGGAUAACCUACCUAUAAGACUGGGAUAACUUCGGGAAACCGUAGCUAAUACCGGAUAAUAUUUUGAACCGCAUGGUUCAAAAGUGAAAGACGGUCUUGCUGUCACUUAUAGAUGGAUCCGCGCUGCAUUAGCUAGUUGGUAAGGUAACGGCUUACCAAGGCAACGAUGCAUAGCCGACCUGAGAGGGUGAUCGGCCACACUGGAACUGAGACACGGUCCAGACUCCUACGGGAGGCAGCAGUAGGGAAUCUUCCGCAAUGGGCGAAAGCCUGACGGAGCAACGCCGCGUGAGUGAUGAAGGUCUUCGGAUCGUAAAACUCUGUUAUUAGGGAAGAACAUAUGUGUAAGUAACUGUGCACAUCUUGACGUUACCUAAUCAGAAAGCCACGGCUAACUACGUG